AACUGAUACUACCUGCGGGAACCUGCGGAAGGAUCAUUACCGAGUUUACAACUCCCAAACCCCAUGUGAACAUACCUGUUUCGUUCCCUCGGCGGUGUCCGGCAACGGCCCGCCAGAGGACCCAACAAACUCUUUUGAAUUUUUCAGUAUCUUCUGAGUGAAAAAAACAAUAAAUCAAAACUUUUAACAACGGAUCUCU
This 199-nucleotide unclassified non-coding RNA is filed under the name soil metagenome. Its description in RNAcentral is "partial contains 5.8S ribosomal RNA, internal transcribed spacer 2, and large subunit ribosomal RNA". The record is from RNAcentral.